Molecule: ribosomal RNA, 382 nt
Filed under: uncultured bacterium
Lineage: Bacteria
Description: bacterial SSU rRNA
Rfam family: Bacterial small subunit ribosomal RNA
Source: RNAcentral
AACGAACGCUGGCGGCGCGCCUAACACAUGCAAGUCGAACGAGAAUCCGGGGCAACCCGGUAGUAAAGUGGCAAACGGGUGAGGAAUACAUGGGUAACCUACCCUUGAGAAGGGAAUAACCCGCCGAAAGGUGAGCUAAUACCCUAUACGCUAUCUUUUUUCGAAAGGAUAGGAAAGCCGGGUCGAGGACCUGGUACUCAAGGAGGGGCUCAUGUCCUAUCAGCUUGUUGGUGGGGUAACGGCCUACCAAGGCUACGACGGGUAGGCUGGUCUGAGAGGAUGAUCAGCCACACUGGCACUGAGAUACGGGCCAGACUCCUACGGGAGGCAGCAGUGAGGAAUAUUGCGCAAUGGGCGAAAGCCUGACGCAGCGACGCCGCGU